GUUGAUCCUGCGGAAGAUCGCUGCUAUUAGGAUUCGAUUAAGCCAUGCAAGUCCAGGCUCUCUUCGGAGAACCGGCAAAAUGCUCAGUAACACGUCGAUAAUCUAACCUUGAGUUCAGGAUAACCUUGGGAAACUGAGGAUAAUACUGAAUACGAGAAUUCGUCUGGAAUGAUUUUUCUCUUAAAAGCAAUGCUCAAGGAUGAGUCGGCGGCGGAUUAGGCUGUUGGCGGGGUAAUGGCCCACCAAACCGACGAUCCGUAGGGGCCCUGAGAGGGGUAUCCUCGAGAAGGACACUGAGAUAAUGGUCCUAGCCCCACGGGGUGCAGCAGGCGCGAAACCUUUACAAUGUACGAAAGUGUGAUAAGGGAAUCCUAAGUGCUGAUGUUUUGCAUCAGCUUUUUUUUAGAGUAAAAAUCUAGAAGAAUAAGUGGUGGGUAAGACUGGUGCCAGCCGCCGCGGUAUUACCAGCGCCACAAGUGGGGAUCAUAUUUAUUGGGCCUAAAGCGUCCGUAGCUGGUUUAACAAAUCUCUUGUGAAAUCGUGGAGCUCAACUUCACGGCGUGCAGGAGACACUAUUAGACUUGGAACCGGGAGGAGUCAGAGGAAUUCAUGGGGGAGCGGUAAAAUGCUAUAAUCCCUUGAAGACCACCUAUAGCGAAGGCAUCUGACUAGAACGGAUUCGACAGUGAGGGACGAAAGCCAGGGGAGCGAACCGGAUUAGAUACCCGAGUAGUCCUGGCCGUAAACGCUGCGAGUUAGGUGUUGUAUAUUCUUCGGGAAUAUGCAGUAUCGAAGCGAAGGCGCUAAACUCGCCGCCUGGGAAGUAUAGUCGCAAGGCCGAAACUUAAAGGAAUUGGCGGGGGAGCACUACAAGGGGUGCGGCGUGCGGUUCAAUCUAAUUCAACGCAGAAAGUCUCACCAGGAGCGACGGCAGGAUGAAAGUCAAGCUAAAGACUUUACUUGACAAGCCGAGAGGUGGUGCAUGGCCGCCGUCAGCUCGUGCCGCAAGGUGUCCUCUUAAGUGAGGUAACGAGCGAGACCUGUAUCCACAAUUGCCAUCGACUCUUUCAGAGGAUCGGGCACAUUGUGGGGACUGCCUUGGAAACAAGGAGGAAGGUGCAGGCUACGGUAGGUCUGUAUGCCCCGAAUCCCCUGGUCUACACGCGCGCAACAAUGGUAGGGACAAUGGGACACAACUCCGAAAGGAGAAGUUAAUCCUCUAAACCCUAUCUUAGUACAGAUUGAGGACUGUAACUCGUCCUCAUGACGAUGGAAUCCCUAGUAAUCGGACGUCAACAUCGUCCGGUGAAUAUGUCCCUGUUCCUUGCACACACCGCCCGUCAAAUCAACCGAGCAGGGUUUAGGUGAGGCCUGAUUUUUUGAUUAUGUCGAACCUAAGCUCAGUGAGGUGGGUUAAGUCGUCACAAGGUA
Molecule: ribosomal RNA, 1431 nt
Filed under: metagenome
Description: bacterial SSU rRNA
Rfam family: Archaeal small subunit ribosomal RNA
Source: RNAcentral